GCACAAGCGGCGGAGCAUGCGGAUUAAUCGAUGCAACGCGAAGAACCUUACCAAGGCUUGACAUACACCGGUAACGCCCAGAGAUGGGUGCCCCUUUGUGGUCGGUGGACAGGUGGUGCAUGGUUGUCGUCAGCUCGUGUCGUGAGAUGUUGGGUUAAGUCCCGCAACGAGCGCAACCCUCGUCCUAUGUUGCCAGCGGGUCAUGCCGGGGACUCAUGGGAGACUGCCGGGGUCAACUCGGAGGAAGGUGGGAUGACGUCAAAUCAUCAUGCCCCUUAUGUCUUGGGCUUCACGCAUGCUACAAUGGCCGGUACAAAGGGCUGCGAUACCGCGAGGUGGAGCGAAUCCCAGAAAGCCGGUCUCAGUUCGGAUUGGGGUCUGCAACUCGACCCCAUGAAGUCGGAGUCGCUAGUAAUCGCAGAUCAGCAACGCUGCGGUGAAUACGUUCCCGGGCCUU
Molecule: ribosomal RNA, 457 nt
Filed under: uncultured Cellulomonas sp.
Lineage: Bacteria; Bacillati; Actinomycetota; Actinomycetes; Micrococcales; Cellulomonadaceae
Description: bacterial SSU rRNA
Rfam family: Bacterial small subunit ribosomal RNA
Source: RNAcentral